This 678-nucleotide ribosomal RNA is filed under the name uncultured bacterium. Its description in RNAcentral is "bacterial SSU rRNA". It matches the Rfam family "Bacterial small subunit ribosomal RNA", at positions 66 to 735 of the family's 1533-position model. The record is from RNAcentral.
ACGGUAACAUGACUAGCUUGCUAGUUGAUGACGAGUGGCGGACGGGUGAGUAACGCGUAGGAAUCUACCCAGUAGCGGGGGAUAAGCCAGAGAAAUUUGGUCUAAUACCGCAUACGCCCUACGGGGGAAAGCAGGGGAUCUUCGGACCUUGCACUAUUGGAUGAGCCUGCGUGAGAUUAGCUAGUUGGUGAGGUAAUGGCUCACCAAGGCGACGAUCUCUAGCUGGUCUGAGAGGAUGAUCAGCCACACUGGAACUGAGACACGGUCCAGACUCCUACGGGAGGCAGCAGUGGGGAAUAUUGCACAAUGGGCGCAAGCCUGAUGCAGCCAUGCCGCGUGUGUGAAGAAGGCCCUAGGGUUGUAAAGCACUUUCAGCAGUGAGGAAAGGUUAGUAGUUAAUACCUGCUAGCUGUGACGUUAACUGCAGAAGAAGCACCGGCUAACUCCGUGCCAGCAGCCGCGGUAAUACGGAGGGUGCGAGCGUUAAUCGGAAUUACUGGGCGUAAAGCGCGCGUAGGUGGAUUGGUCAGUCAGAUGUGAAAGCCCAGGGCUCAACCUUGGAACUGCACCUGAUACUGCCAAUCUAGAGUACGGUAGAGGGUAGUGGAAUUUCCUGUGUAGCGGUGAAAUGCGUAGAUAUAGGAAGGAACACCAGUGGCGAAGGCGACUACCUGGACC